CACUCCUACGGGAGGCAGCAGUGGGGAAUUUUGGACAAUGGGCGAAAGCCUGAUCCAGCAAUGCCGCGUGUGUGAAGAAGGCCUUCGGGUUGUAAAGCACUUUUGUCCGGAAAGAAAUCCUUGGCUCUAAUACAGUCGGGGGAUGACGGUACCGGCAGAAUAGCACCGGCUAACUACGUGCCAGCAGCCGCGGUAAUACGUAGGGUGCGAGCGUUAAUCGGAAUUACUGGGCGUAAAGCGUGCGCAGGCGGUUUGCUAAGACCGAUGUGAAAUCCCCGGGCUCAACCUGGGAACUGCAUUGGUGACUGGCAGGCUAGAGUAUGGCAGAGGGGGGUAGAAUUCCACGUGUAGCAGUGAAAUGCGUAGAGAUGUGGAGGAAUACCGAUGGCGAAGGCAGCCCCCUGGGCCAAUACUGACGCUCAUGCACGAAAGCGUGGGGAGCAAACAGGAUUAGAUACCCUAGUAGUCCCAUGA
Molecule: ribosomal RNA, 474 nt
Filed under: uncultured organism
Description: partial 16S ribosomal RNA
Rfam family: Bacterial small subunit ribosomal RNA
Source: RNAcentral